Lolium perenne is the source of this 3044-nucleotide long non-coding RNA. RefSeq lists it as uncharacterized. The record is from RefSeq and is a predicted model, not a curated record. Lineage: Eukaryota; Viridiplantae; Streptophyta; Magnoliopsida; Poales; Poaceae.
UCUCCCCCAAUCCCUCAGUAGCUCGUCUCCCCCAAUCCCUCCAAACCCUAGCCAAAUCCCCACCUCACUGGCUGCUAGCUCCCGCCCGUCCCUCUUCCUCGGCUCCAAUGGCGCGAAGCCUCCGACUUGACGCCCCUCCUCUUUCUGGUUCCAUCCUCCGCGCCCACCAGCAUCGACCCGAGCCAUCCCCAACGCCAACUCGUCUUCGUCGCGAUGGGGGAAACCCUAGCUGCCUUUCCCCCAAUCCCCGCGCGACCUUCCUCCUCUCCAAUGGCUGCUGGAGAUUUCUCUGCCUGCCCCCUCCACUCCCGUUCGUCCCCGGCCUCUCCCUUCUCCGGUCGAUCUCCCAUCGUUGCCAUGGCUGGCCAGGAGCAGCGCAAACCUUGGGCGCGAGUGCUGCCUCCCGUCGUCGCCAUGGUCGGCCGGUAGUAGCGUCGGCCUUGGGUGCGGCCGCCGCCUCCGGGCGUCACGAGCGCCCUAGCGCUCCUAGCACGCCGCAACGAGGAGGCCCACAUCGACGCGCGAGGGGAAGACGCCGCCAGGCCAUGGACGAGCGCCUGAUUGAGGGAGGGCUCCACCAGCACCUCCAUCGCUGCUUCCUCCUCCCCUCCCUUCCUCUCCGCGAUUUUGCGCCGCCAUGGGGCUUUCACCUGAUGAAACUGGCAGCGUGGAGGAGGCCACCAAUGACGCUACUGCUGCUGCACCAUUUGUCGGUAAAUCUCCUCCUCGUGGCCUCCUUGUCUCCUCCCCUCACUCAUCGUGGCUACGUUUGUCCGUGUUAAUGCUGCUAGGGAUGACAAGAUCGUGAAUCCUCCAGGAGCGUUGGGUGUCAUUUAUAGUGUUCUCCUACCGUGAGAUGCAAAAGGAUCAGCAUACACCGAUUUUGCACAUCAUUUAUAUGCAAAGAAACUCUCAUGCUCAACGAUUCCCCGAGACCUCUGAUUCUGCAAGGACAUAUGGCUGCAGAGCAUCAGCACAGCGAUGUCGCUGGUUUGGUUAAAAAGGGCCAACAUGGAAUUGGAGAAGUCACCUAACCGGGUUAUCACGGGUUAACCGGGGUUGGUGUCAGGGAGAGUGCACAAAGAUGGAGUACUCGGUGGACGUAUGGUCAGGGAACCAAAGCCUACUAUGUCACAACUCCUUCGCAUUGGUUGUCAUGGACAACCAGAUCUAGAGCCUCUUAUAUAUGGUGCAGCAUUAGGUAUUACAAUGAGAGAGAAAAAAAUCAGGCCGGAGGAUACAUGUGAGGUGCUCAAUCUGGUGGAUUCGGUUGUGGCAAGUGUGCUGGCCAAUCGGUAUUUGUUUGAAGAGGGAUGGAAAUAAGUCAGGGAGUCAUACAUGCACACCGGAGAAUAUAUGUGCAGAUCUGGGCAAGGUGCUGCUGCAUCCCAGCUUUAGAGAACUUCCUCAAUGGGCAUUCGUAGGUGUUGGCAUGCGUUUGUUUCACAGGUGUGGACUGAUGGCCUUAUAUGCAUCAACAUGUAGAGUGGUUACUGGGCACAAUAGAUGAGGAGUAACCAUAUGUGUCAUGGAACCCUUCAAUUAGACCAAAUACAUCGGUUCCAUUAUGCUGCUCAUGCCUCGCCUCCUCACUGUGAGAUAUGGUGAAACAUGAGAGGUGGCAAUAUCUAAAGGAAUGGCUGCACUCACCACAAUUAGAUCAUCGGUGGUACUGCCAAAGAUGAUUCAGGUGAUGAACGGCUUAAUCUGGAUCAAAAUGUAUGGCUGCACUCACCACAAAUAUGAUCAUCGGUGGUAUUGCCAAAGAUGAUUCAGGUGAUGAGUGGCUUAAUCUGGAUCAAAAGGUGAAUUCGUAUCCCAACGAACCGAGGAUUUACAACAAUUGGUAUUGGAGGUGAAGAAUUUUCUCCCGCAAUGGUUGAUGUUGUUUAAUCAGUUCUUCAAGAGCCAAUUCCCAAGGUUGGUCUGCAUUUGUUGAAGAAAUUUGUCAACUAAAGGCUGGAGUAUCUGUGAACUGAAGAGGAAUGACGAGGAAUUUUUCGUUCUCGGCCCCUUUGAUUUGUUGGUACAAAUGUCCGAUGUCGUUUGUAUAGUGUUGUCAAAGAGGGUUGUAUUUUAUCUGUCAAGAGAGCCCUGUUUUGGAGUUGCUUCCUCAAAUUGGGUCUAAAGAGGUUGGUUCAGCUAGGGAUUUGGACCCGCCACCUGACCUGCCUAAUGAUAAAAGGCCGCUGUCACAGAAAGUUGCGGCAACUGUGGCAAAUGUUCAGACAAAGAAGAGGUCCUAGAUCAAUAGCCUGGAGGGGACCUUAGGUUGGCACUUAACAUGGCUCGGCUCACCUUGUUUUUAUACCAAAGACCUGGGUUAAUUCUAAAUUUGAAGAUGGACUUGGAUAGCGGGUGUAGAACCUAAAGUUGAAGAUGUGCAAUGCUAUUUCUCGAUUACAAUGGCAAAGUUGUGGGCUGCUGCAGGAAUAUGCAGUACAUUCAUCACAUUUAUAUGUUCUGUUUCGAAUCAACUGGACCUAGCGACGACAAGACUGUUAUCAACUGAUCUGUCAGGAGAGUGUUGUUCCAGGAAUCGCUCGCCUCGGAUUGGGUCUGAAGGUGUGUUUCAGUUGGCACCUCCGGUUGAGUUUGAGGAGAUAAUUUUUUUACACAUUAUCCGGUCCUGCAUGAGCUAUGAGACAAUAUGUAAAGCAACCAAAUAUGAAGCACAGAUUAAGGAGAAAGCAAGGACAAUGAAAGCCACUUCUGUAUAACCAAGAUGAUAGUUGGCUGUAUAUAAAUUCUUCUCAGAUAAUGAUUUCGUAUUGGUUCCUUCCUCCAUUACUCUCUAAGCUACAUAGAAAAUGUUUGACAUAAUGUUUGUCAGUGUAAAAGAUGGAGCCCGAACAUCAUAGUAAAAAAGCAUAAGGUGUAGAUCUUAUGCUUUUUACUAUAUUUUGGUUGCACACACUGCCACUGAGCUUAGCAUUUUGCAUCUAUUUGUAUAUUGGUAUGUUUUUUUUUUUGCUACAACUCCCAAACUAUACAAUGGUUAUAUCCGUGUAUCUGUCUAAGAGAUUGCUCACCUAUUUGGUACA